AGGACGAACGCUGGCGGCGUGCUUAACACAUGCAAGUCGAGCGGAAAGGCCCUUCGGGGUACUCGAGCGGCGAACGGGUGAGUAACACGUGAGCAACCUGCCCCUGACUCUGGGAUAAGCCUAGGAAACUGGGUCUAAUACCGGAUAGUACCCCCUGUUUCAUGGUGGGGGGUGGAAAGUUUUUCGGUUGGGGAUGGGCUCGCGGCCUAUCAGCUUGUUGGUGGGGUGAUGGCCUACCAAGGCGACGACGGGUAGCCGGCCUGAGAGGGCGACCGGCCACACUGGGACUGAGACACGGCCCAGACUCCUACGGGAGGCAGCAGUGGGGAAUAUUGCGCAAUGGGCGAAAGCCUGACGCAGCGACGCCGCGUGGGGAUGAAGGCCUUCGGGUUGUAAACCCCUUUCAGCACCGACGAAGCGCGAGUGACGGUAGGUGCAGAAGAAGCGCCGGCUAACUACGUGCCAGCAGCCGC
RNAcentral lists this ribosomal RNA (473 nucleotides) under uncultured bacterium. RNAcentral describes it as "SSU rRNA". It matches the Rfam family "Bacterial small subunit ribosomal RNA", at positions 26 to 518 of the family's 1533-position model. The record is from RNAcentral.